Long non-coding RNA from Oxyura jamaicensis (ruddy duck), 2146 nucleotides. RefSeq lists it as uncharacterized. NCBI's taxonomy places the organism in Eukaryota, Metazoa, Chordata, Aves, Anseriformes, Anatidae. The record is from RefSeq and is a predicted model, not a curated record. The transcript is spliced from 2 exons.
CUGCGGUGGGGGAGCGCUGGGGUUUGGCAGAGGGGAGCGCGCGUUGCGUAACGGGCGGUACACAAGUGUGUGUGUGUGUGUGAUCUGUAGGUAUGUAUGUGCCUGUGUACGUAUAGAUACGUGUGGGUGCGUGUAUAUACGUGCGGGUACCUAUGGUAUGUAUAUGUGCGGGACACCCAGCCCCGUCGCUCUCUCCACCUGCAGCACGGGGCACACGCGGAGCUGCGAGCGUGCUCCCCCCCCCUUUUAUUUUAUUUUUUUUAUAGGUUCGGGGAGAGAUGUUAACUCCGCUAGCAGUUUCUUGGAUCAUUAAAACGUAGCGUGUAGGCAAGGCGGCGAGCUGCGAAGACGCUGGCUGUCGUGAGCGAUGCUAAGUGUGAAAUCAUGCCUCGCCUUUUGUGGAGCAGGCUAUUUUUGUAAGGCGGCGGGUGCCGGGCUUCAGGCUCUGCCCUUGCUGCCGGAGCCCCGACAGCUCCGGAGUAAAGCCGCGUCUCUCCUCCUCUGAGGUGGUGGUGGUAAUAAACGUGAGGCAGGAGUGACAUCUUAUUAGAAUUGCACUUUGGGAUGUCGGGAAGAUUGCGAAAUUGCAGCGUUGCUGUUUGCUCUAGUUGAAGAUGUGUCGGGGUUUUCACGGCGAAAAGCCGUUUCUUUGAGACUUUGGGACUGCCGCUGAACUUGUGCAUGUUUUAAUCCGGCGUUGGAAGCCUCGGGCGAGGAGCAAGGAAUUUUUUUCGGGCUGGGAGCUGACUGAGGUUCUGCCAUCGCGGUGGCAUGCUCUGCAGCUGGGAGAGGGUGGUGGUGCUCAGGGACGGGGACUGCUCCAGGUACGUGAGUGCCAGGAUUGGAGAUGGUUGCGAUGGCUAGAGUGAAAUGAUAAGGUUGUGUGUUCAGCUGCUGUCCGUGGGGCUGUCGUGGCAACAGCCUUAAACCAGUGUGGUACGAGCCUUGACAUCUGACAGAUAGAAAUAAAAUUCCCCCUCUGACACCCACGUGCACCCGCCAGGGGUCCGGGUGCUGGAGUGGGGAAGGGGACCGGUGCCAAGCCCCCUCGUGUUUGGCUGUCCGGCUCCAGAGGCUGUUGGGAAGGCGCUCCGAGGUGAGAGGUGGAAGGAAAGCUGCAGGAAGACCAGCUGGGAGGACUGCAAAUCGGGAUCGCGGGUCUGGUUUUCCUGCUAGCUGGCUCCGUGAUGCCAGAGCAGGCGUUCUCAAAGAGAGGGCAGUCAUCGGGUGGAUGGUCGGAGCUGCUAGGCAGAAAGGCUUGGGUGAUGCUGGGCAGCUCCACUGUGCAGCUGGUGCUCAGACAGCCGCUCUUCUUGGAAACUUUCACAGUGGGGAGGCUCGGAUGGGAGAGGUGCAGGCAGCAGAUGCACAAGUGAUGCACGCGUGCUGACGGAUCCCGACGGGUCCAUCAUCAGGUACCUCUCAUUGGGACAGGAGUGCCGGGACAGGUAUUGGUAGUCCUCUCCUGACCCGGAGGCACAUCUGGAACAUCUGCUGGCGUUAAUGCCAGGCAGGCUUGCAGGACGAUGCGCUGGCGAUGUGGGUGGGACGCCCUCCUCUCCUCCCUGCUUUGCUUUUGGGAGGUCGCUUUGCAGGAUGAGGAUCGGCAGCUCUCCCUCCUGAGCUGGGCACGAAGCAGGGCUAGCGAUAGCACACGGGUGGCCAGCUCGGAGUGACGGCCCCAGCCCCAACAAAUAGGUGCUGACCGCAAGCUGCCUGCAUGAGGAAGCUCUGCAAUCUUGCGUAUCGCUUUCUGUGUGCGUGCAGUUAGCGACAAAGAGAGCUGAAAAUAAAACUCCACAUGGAUGAUGUGUAUUGCAGAGUAUGUGACAGAGGUUGCUCGCUCUGGCGUAUUUUAAAACUUUCAUUGUGUGAUGUUCUGUUCUGAAGUGCAGAAGCUGUCUUACUUAACCAGGCUGCAGUUUGAUCGCCUGUUAUUUUCCUGAAGGUAUUCUCGAAAAAUAAUUGCCAGCCGUGGGGGGGAAAAAAUAACAUCAACAAUCGCAUCUUUUUCAUGGGAAUUCUUAGAAGAUGUUUUCUCAGUGUGCGCCUCGAUGUCCUUUUUGGAUAGGACUUCACACACGCUUAGAUUAAAUAAAAGAGACCUCUUACGGUGUAGCUAGUAAAUGUCUAUGGCACAAAGCUG